Molecule: transfer RNA, 74 nt
Organism: Camelus ferus (Wild Bactrian camel)
Lineage: Eukaryota; Metazoa; Chordata; Mammalia; Artiodactyla; Camelidae
Rfam family: tRNA
About the family: Transfer RNA (tRNA) molecules are approximately 80 nucleotides in length. Their secondary structure includes four short double-helical elements and three loops (D, anti-codon, and T loops).
Source: Rfam
GAGGGUAUAGCUCAAAAUGCUAGAGCGCAUGCUUAGCAUGCACAAGGUCCUAGGUUCAAUCCCCAGUACCUCCU